This is a long non-coding RNA of Mus musculus (house mouse), 485 nucleotides long. RefSeq annotates it as predicted gene, 46529. The transcript is spliced from 3 exons. The record is from RefSeq and is a predicted model, not a curated record. NCBI's taxonomy places the organism in Eukaryota, Metazoa, Chordata, Mammalia, Rodentia, Muridae.
GACACCACAGUACAUCAACAUUGGGAGGGGAGAUCAAGGAGGCCUUCUUGGAGGAGUUAAUGCCCGAGAUGUGAGCCAUUAAAGGAAAAGCAAAAGUGAGCACCCGAGAUGCCCUGCAGAAGGAAAAGUGAGCAGGGAGAAGUCCAAAAGUGAGCAACUCAAGUCCAGUGCCUGGAGAGAGAUCCAGAUGUAGGGCUCUCAGCUACCCCUCCAGCUCCAUGUCUGCCUGCAUGCUGCCAUGCUUCACACUGUGUCAAUAAUGGACCAUACUUCUGAACUUGUAUGGCAGACAGGGAGAAACAGAUUUGCUCUUAUUAAGUGAAGUACAAGCGAGGAGCUGGAGAGAUGGCUCAGCAGGUAAGGCGGCUUGCACCUGACCUUGACCCUUGACGCUUGGAGCCCACGUGUUCCAACUAACACAAGUUUCCCUCUGCUCUUCACAUGUGUGCCAUGGUGUAUAAACCCCACCACACACACACACACAC